CCUACGGGGUGCAGCAGUGGGGGAUAUUGCACAAUGGGGGGAACCCUGAUGCAGCGACGCCGCGUGGGUGAAGAAGCGCCUCGGCGCGUAAAGCCCUGUCAGUAGGGAAGAAAAUGACGGUACCUGAAGAAGAAGCCCCGGCUAACUACGUGCCAGCAGCCGUGGUAAUACGUAGGGGGCAAGCGUUAUCCGGAUUUACUGGGUGUAAAGGGGGCGCAGACGGCGAUGAAAGCCAGGAGUGAAAGCCCGGGGCUCAACCCCGGGACUGCUCUUGGAACUGCGUGGCUGGAGUGCAGGAGGGGCAGGCGGAAUUCGUGGUGUAGCGGUGAAAUGCGUAGAUAUCAGGAGGAACACCGGUGGCGAAGGCGGCCUGCUGGACUGCAACUGACGUUGAGGCCCGAAAGCGUGGGGAGCAAACAGGAGUAGAUACCCGAGUAGUC
This 440-nucleotide ribosomal RNA is filed under the name uncultured bacterium. Its description in RNAcentral is "partial 16S ribosomal RNA". It matches the Rfam family "Bacterial small subunit ribosomal RNA", at positions 338 to 795 of the family's 1533-position model. The record is from RNAcentral.